This 214-nucleotide unclassified non-coding RNA is filed under the name uncultured fungus. RNAcentral describes it as "partial contains 18S rRNA, ITS1 and 5.8S rRNA". The record is from RNAcentral. Lineage: Eukaryota; Fungi.
AGGUGAACCUGCGGAAGGAUCAUUACCGAGUUCAUGCCCUUCGGGGUAGAUCUCCCACCCUUUGUAUACUAUACCUUUGUUGCUUUGGCGGGCCGCCUAGCUACUGGCUUCGGCUGGUAAGUGCCCGCCAGAGAACCCAAAACCCUGAAUUAUUAGUGUCGUCUGAGUAAAAUAUUUAAUAUUUAAAACUUUCAACAACGGAUCUCUUGGCUCU